This 465-nucleotide ribosomal RNA is filed under the name uncultured bacterium. RNAcentral's name for it is "partial 16S ribosomal RNA". It matches the Rfam family "Bacterial small subunit ribosomal RNA", at positions 28 to 507 of the family's 1533-position model. The record is from RNAcentral.
GACGAACGCUGGCGGCGUGCUUAACACAUGCAAGUCGAACGGAAAGGCCCUGCUUGCCGGGUACUCGAGUGGCGAACGGGUGAGUAACACGUGGGUGAUCUGCCCUGCACUUCGGGAUAAGCCUGGGAAACUGGGUCUAAUACCGGAUAGGAGCCAUUUUUAGUGUGAUGGUUGGAAAGUUUUUUCGGUGUAGGAUGAGCUCGCGGCCUAUCAGCUUGUUGGUGGGGUAAUGGCCUACCAAGGCGGCGACGGGUAGCCGGCCUGAGAGGGUGGACGGCCACAGUGGGACUGAGAUACGGCCCAGACUCCUACGGGAGGCAGCAGUGGGGAAUAUUGCACAAUGGGCGCAAGCCUGAUGCAGCGACGCCGCGGGGGGGAUGACGGCCUUCGGGUUGUAAACUCCGUUCGCUAGGGACGAAGCUUUUUGUGACGGUACCUAGAGAAGAAGCACCGGCUAACUACGUG